Molecule: long non-coding RNA, 268 nt
Organism: Octopus sinensis (East Asian common octopus)
Lineage: Eukaryota; Metazoa; Mollusca; Cephalopoda; Octopoda; Octopodidae
Exons: 3
Source: RefSeq, a predicted model, not a curated record
GGCAUUUUAUAUCAACCUGAGAGAAGUGUAUGGACACUAGCUAGGUGACAGCGCACCAAUGAGGAGCAUGGAUGUUUUAUAACUGACAAGAUUACCAAAUAUAAAUGAAAAUGGACAGCCAUAACAGAAAGGAUUUCGACAUCAACUUCCAAGAAUUACGAUUUCCAUCUCAAGCAUCAAGAUUUGACUAAAACCACAACCAAUAACAAACAUAAUCCUAUACACCAGCAUCUUCAGACAAAAUACUUCCAGUCUAUUUCCAUCUUAA